RNAcentral lists this long non-coding RNA (407 nucleotides) under Gossypium barbadense (sea-island cotton). RNAcentral's name for it is "long non-coding RNA (GBAR_LNC001070)". The record is from RNAcentral. Lineage: Eukaryota; Viridiplantae; Streptophyta; Magnoliopsida; Malvales; Malvaceae.
UAGUUGCUUCCUUGCUGCACGUGAGUAAGUAAAUUUUUCUUGCUUCCUUGUUCUCUAUCCUGUAUUUCUUCUUCUGCUUUAUUUUCUUUUUUGUUGCUGUCAAAAAUCUCAACAGCUAUUAGCUGAAGCACCCACCCAUGACAAUGAGCAAACAACAAUGAAAAGCAAUGACAGAGAACGAUGAAGGGACUUCAUGUUUAUGGAAGUGAUGAAUUUGUGAAGAUUUCAGCAAGAUAUUCCCCAUAUUUAUAGAGGCAAUGCUUUGAGCCGCCAUGUGAACAAAGUUUGGUUCAAGAAACCCAGGUAUUUGAAGUCAAUUCAUAUAUAAUAAUGGCACAUGCUGCUCAUUUCCUUGUCUAAUUCUCAAAAUUAUUCCAAAACAAUUAUCAAAUAAAUUUCUCUAUAAC